RNAcentral lists this ribosomal RNA (104 nucleotides) under uncultured bacterium. RNAcentral describes it as "partial 16S ribosomal RNA". The record is from RNAcentral.
UACUUCGGAGUUGUAAACCUUUGUCUACCGGGAAGAAACGGUUUGAGUUAAUAGCUCAAAGCCGUGACUUAACCCGGAGAGGAAGCAGUGGCCUAACUCUGUGC